RNAcentral lists this ribosomal RNA (223 nucleotides) under uncultured bacterium. RNAcentral's name for it is "partial 16S ribosomal RNA". It matches the Rfam family "Bacterial small subunit ribosomal RNA", at positions 263 to 478 of the family's 1533-position model. The record is from RNAcentral.
GCCCACCAAGGCGACGAUCAGUAGCUGGUCUGAGAGGACGACCAGCCACACUGGAACUGAGACACGGUCCAGACUCCUACGGGAGGCAGCAGUGGGGAAUUUUGGACAAUGGGCGCAAGCCUGAUCCAGCCAUUCCGCGUGAGUGAAGAAGGCCUUCGGGUUGUAAAGCUUUUUCGCAAGGGAAGAAAACUUAGGCUCUAACAUAGCCUGAGGUUGACGGUAC